This is a transfer RNA of Culex pipiens (northern house mosquito), 73 nucleotides long. It matches the Rfam family "tRNA". From Rfam's summary of the family: Transfer RNA (tRNA) molecules are approximately 80 nucleotides in length. Their secondary structure includes four short double-helical elements and three loops (D, anti-codon, and T loops). The record is from Rfam. Lineage: Eukaryota; Metazoa; Arthropoda; Insecta; Diptera; Culicidae.
GCAGCUGUGGCUGAAUGGUUACAGUGUUUGUAAAGUAAGCGAAUGGUUCUGGGUUCAAUUCCCAUCUGCUCCC